GAGCGAAUGGAUUAAGAGCUUGCUCUUAUGAAGUUAGCGGCGGACGGGUGAGUAACACGUGGGUAACCUACCCAUAAGACUGGGAUAACUCCGGGAAACCGGGGCUAAUACCGGAUAAUAUUUUGAACUGCAUAGUUCGAAAUUGAAAGGCGGCUUCGGCUGUCACUUAUGGAUGGACCCGCGUCGCAUUAGCUAGUUGGUGAGGUAACGGCUCACCAAGGCAACGAUGCGUAGCCGACCUGAGAGGGUGAUCGGCCACACUGGGACUGAGACACGGCCCAGACUCCUACGGGAGGCAGCAGUAGGGAAUCUUCCGCAAUGGACGAAAGUCUGACGGAGCAACGCCGCGUGAGUGAUGAAGGCUUUCGGGUCGUAAAACUCUGUUGUUAGGGAAGAACAAGUGCUAGUUGAAUAAGCUGGCACCUUGACGGUACCUAACCAGAAAGCCACGGCUAACUACGUGCCAGCAGCCGCGGUAAUACGUAGGUGGCAAGCGUUAUCCGGAAUUAUUGGGCGUAAAGCGCGCGCAGGUGGUUUCUUAAGUCUGAUGUGAAAGCCCACGGCUCAACCGUGGAGGGUCAUUGGAAACUGGGAGACUUGAGUGCA
This 606-nucleotide ribosomal RNA is filed under the name Bacillus mycoides. Its description in RNAcentral is "bacterial SSU rRNA". It matches the Rfam family "Bacterial small subunit ribosomal RNA", at positions 64 to 650 of the family's 1533-position model. Lineage: Bacteria; Bacillati; Bacillota; Bacilli; Caryophanales; Bacillaceae. The record is from RNAcentral.